RNAcentral lists this ribosomal RNA (1346 nucleotides) under uncultured bacterium. RNAcentral's name for it is "bacterial SSU rRNA". It matches the Rfam family "Bacterial small subunit ribosomal RNA", at positions 28 to 1381 of the family's 1533-position model. The record is from RNAcentral.
GACGAACGCUUUCGGCGUGCUUAACACAUGCAAGUCGAACGGAAAGGCCCUGCUUUUGUGGGGUGCUCGAGUGGCGAACGGGUGAGUAACACGUGAGUAACCUGCCCUUGACUUUGGGAUAACUUCAGGAAACUGGGGCUAAUACCGGAUAGGAGCUCCUGCUGCAUGGUGGGGGUUGGAAAGUUUCGGCGGUUGGGGAUGGACUCGCGGCUUAUCAGCUUGUUGGUGGGGUAGUGGCUUACCAAGGCUUUGACGGGUAGCCGGCCUGAGAGGGUGACCGGCCACAUUGGGACUGAGAUACGGCCCAGACUCCUACGGGAGGCAGCAGUGGGGAAUAUUGCACAAUGGGCGGAAGCCUGAUGCAGCAACGCCGCGUGCGGGAUGACGGCCUUCGGGUUGUAAACCGCUUUCGCCUGUGACGAAGCGUGAGUGACGGUAAUGGGUAAAGAAGCACCGGCUAACUACGUGCCAGCAGCCGCGGUGAUACGUAGGGUGCGAGCGUUGUCCGGAUUUAUUGGGCGUAAAGGGCUCGUAGGUGGUUGAUCGCGUCGGAAGUGUAAUCUUGGGGCUUAACCCUGAGCGUGCUUUCGAUACGGGUUGACUUGAGGAAGGUAGGGGAGAAUGGAAUUCCUGGUGGAGCGGUGGAAUGCGCAGAUAUCAGGAGGAACACCAGUGGCGAAGGCGGUUCUCUGGGCCUUUCCUGACGCUGAGGAGCGAAAGCGUGGGGAGCGAACAGGCUUAGAUACCCUGGUAGUCCACGCUGUAAACGGUGGGUACUAGGUGUGGGGUCCAUUCCACGGGUUCCGUGCCGUAGCUAACGUUUUAAGUACCCCGCCUGGGGAGUACGGCCGCAAGGCUAAAACUCAAAGGAAUUGACGGGGCCCCGCACAAGCGGCGGAGCAUGCGGAUUAAUUCGAUGCAACGCGUAGAACCUUACCUGGGUUUGACAUGGAUCGGGAGCGCUCAGAGAUGGGUGUGCCUCUUUUGGGGUCGGUUCACAGGUGGUGCAUGGCUGUCGUCAGCUCGUGUCGUGAGAUGUUGGGUUAAGUCCCGCAACGAGCGCAACCCUUGUUCACUGUUGCCAGCACGUUAUGGUGGGGACUCAGUGGAGACCGCCGGGGUCAACUCGGAGGAAGGUGGGGAUGACGUCAAGUCAUCAUGCCCCUUAUGUCCAGGGCUUCACGCAUGCUACAAUGGCUGGUACAGAGAGUGGCGAGCCUGUGAGGGUGAGCGAAUCUCGGAAAGCCGGUCUCAGUUCGGAUUGGGGUCUGCAACUCGACCUCAUGAAGUCGGAGUCGCUAGUAAUCGCAGAUCAGCAACGCUGCGGUGAAUACGUUCCCGGGGCU